RNAcentral lists this long non-coding RNA (3108 nucleotides) under Capsicum annuum. RNAcentral describes it as "long non-coding RNA (CANN_LNC005590)". Lineage: Eukaryota; Viridiplantae; Streptophyta; Magnoliopsida; Solanales; Solanaceae. The record is from RNAcentral.
ACUCCUCCAAGCGCCGCCAUCCUAUUCCCCAAACAUUAAAAAUUCUCUCAACUAAUCCUGAGUUAAUCUUAUUUAUUUUUCAAACAAGAUAAGUUCUAAAACUCUUCAAUUUGGUGGUAGUUUUGAUAUCAUGGGUAUGAUUACGUGGUGUUAUUUCUACUCUUAUUUUAUCCAUAGCCCUUUUGUACUGCAUCUUGCGCAUAAAAAUUCUUAUGCAUCAUUAGUAGUUGUCGUUGUGCUCGUGUUGUUAGUUGUUGAAUUGAUUAGUUAUUGCUUCAUUAAGUUGCCUUAGGGGAUAUCGACGGGGCUUUACUAAUUUGAGGGUAUGUAGUUCAAGUUAAAGUGUGGGGUGGGGCGAGUUCUUUGUACUUUCUAUAUAUACAAUUGGGCUUCGAUUCAUGAAUGUUGUUUUAGUCUAAAUACAUAGAUAGAGGAUGUAUCUACCAAAACAAAGGUUACUUGCUCUUUUUGUGCUUGAUUAUGUUAAUUAUUACAUGCAACAUCGAGAUUGAUGUCGUAUCGCAAAGGGAAGUCUGAGUACCUACUGUGAUAAUUCUGAAAUGCUACGCACAUAAUCGAGCUUGCACUAUCUUGUUCACCUUACUAAUUAGUAACUGAAUUACAUAAUGGUAUGUUCAAAGUGGAUUGAUCUUAACCGAAUUGUUGAACUAGACAUUCUUUGACCAUAUACUAUGUGGCCUAUGAUUGAGUAAUUGGUUAGCAUAGAUUAGUUGUUGUUAAGUUAGUUGACGCCCUUUUAACUGUGACAUUUUCUGUUAUGCACUUUCUACUAUCGUUAGAAUUAAGUAUGGAACUAUUGAAAUACAGUCUAGGUACACUUGCACAAUGUAGUAAAAUUGGAGUACUCUUAUUAACCUAUCCUGUAAUAUGAGUAGCAUCGAUAACAACAAAGUGUUAGGUGGCGUUUUCACUAGUCCAAAUGUAGUGAAGUUAGCAUGCUCUAAGCCAUAUUGAAAUGUCUUUGUUGCCUAUUUUAAAUCUCAGGAAUUAUGAAUCGAAGGAAACUAGGACUAAAUGGAAAAUCAAGGACUUCAAAGUCAGCGAGGAAAUGCAGCAGACCAGCUGCGAGGCAAAUUAAUAGAGUGCCCCAUGCUCCUCCAGUCCUACAUGGUCAAACACGUAGAUUUGGGUUUAAGGAAGUUAGGCAAGACGGAAAGCAAUGGCACUCCAAACACCUCGACACCAAAUACAUACCUAAGAUGUUUAUUGAUAGUGUAAGUCUAUAGAGAAAAUGACCAAGUAUGGUAAGUCAUCUGGAGCAGCUGAACAUAGUUUUCAUUUUCCACUAGCUGCGUGAAUGCAAUUUGCAUCUUGUGCAUGAGUUUUAUGCAAAUUAGGACCCAAGGGAUGUACAUCAUGAGGUGAAAGUUCAUGGUAAAAUCGUCAUAUUUACUUUAGAGGACAUCAAUGACUUGUUGGGAAUACCUGAGGCAGAUGUACAUUAGUUAAAAUAGUUGAUUAUCACUCUGAAUUAUGCUUACAAUCUACAUCUGUUGUGUGGUACUCAUUCAUUAGCCCGAUAGACUAGACAAAAGGGCACAGGUCUUCAUUCCUCAUUACCAUAUGCAUAGAUGAACAAGGAAGCUCGCAUAUGGGGAUGAAUUAUGCACUAUUUCCUAAUUCAAGGCAAGCAUAUGACUGAGGUUACACAUAAACGGGUAUGUUUGACUUACGCUUCAUAGUGUAAUGAUGUUGCAAUGAAUGUAAUCCAUGUCAUAUUUUCUGCCAUAAAAAAGGCACGCUUCAUUGAGAGAUACUGAUAUGGAUUUGGAGGCUUAUUGACUAAGUUCAUAAGGUGGCACUAGGUAGAGAAGAAGGAAUUAGAUUAUAAGGCUAUAAUAGAUAACCACCCUAUUGAUUUUACUAGAGCCAAGAGCACAGCUGGGCCCUUAGGACCAAUUCUUACUAUGGCCGAGUGUCAAAAUUAGACUGAUGAAAUCAUGUCUAGAACAUACAAUUUUUAGAUGUUGUACAUGAGGCUUGGGGGAAGAGCAACCACAGAUGAAGAGAUUCAUGUUGUUGACUUGGAUUACCCGCUCGGUCAUCACGCCAAGACAUUGCUGAGGAUUGGACCAGAGUUUAUGGAACCGACAGAUAAUGAUAUACCUACCAAUGAAGACAGACAGUGGCAUGACUUAAAUAUUGAGUCUAAUAUUGAUGAUUAGUCUGAGGAUGUUGAUGGACAGGAUGAUAUUGAUGCAUCUAAUAAUGGUGAUGCAACACAAGUUGACAUGGCUGAUGCCUAGGUUUGCACAUACAAAGAUAGUGCUCUUCCUACGUGUGGGGUGGUCUUGCACCCUCUUCCCUUUUCCUUUUGUCUCUUGAUGUGUGAGAAAAAUCUAACAUAUUUAAUGCUUUUUAGCUCAAAAUAAUUGUGAAUUCUGAAGCAACUCUUGUCGUUUUGAUGUGUUUUCUCAUGAUAUUGCAGUAAAAGGCUGAAGGAAUGGAAAUAAACGAUAAUGGAGAAAAAAAGUUGAAAAUCUGAGCAAAAGAGAAGAAAACAUGACUGACGACAUCCGUGAUAAGUCGUCAGCCUUGUGAUAGACUAUCAGAAGCGGCGUCAGCCUUAACUAGGGACUUGAGUCUGAGAGAAAGUUCUGACAACAUUGGUAAUAAGGCGUCAAGAUAGUGAUAAGGCAUUACAAAUGUCGUCAGCCUUAGCCAGAGAAUCAGAGCUCAAAGAAGAAAUCUGGCGACGCUGGUGAUAUGCCGUCAGAUCAAUGACACGACAUCAGCUACAUCGUUAGCCUAAGAUAGAUUUUGAAGACAGCUGGAGCAACCCUGAUGCCAUCCAUGAUAAGGCAUCAGAUCCUUGACAUGGUGUCAUCUAGUGCGUCACCUAAUCCGAAGAACUUAUGAUUUUUGUUAUUUUAUUUCCAUAAUUAGACUUAAGUAUAAAUAACAUCUUUUAGGGUUUAUUGAGGAGUUCGGUUCUUUUUAGAGAGCAGAUUAUUUUUUAUCCUAAGACUUAGAGAAAAAAACAUUAUUCUUCAUUGUUUCUUUUCCUCAACACUUAUCAAUUAUUGUAGAUUUCUCUUUCGUGAUUGAAUUGAAGAAACAACUUGUUGCUUUUCAUCUGUUCGUAAG